RNAcentral lists this ribosomal RNA (497 nucleotides) under uncultured bacterium. RNAcentral describes it as "partial 16S ribosomal RNA". It matches the Rfam family "Bacterial small subunit ribosomal RNA", at positions 28 to 507 of the family's 1533-position model. The record is from RNAcentral.
GAUGAACGCUGGCGGCGUGCCUAAUACAUGCAAGUCGAGCGAACAGACGAGGAGCUUGCUCCUCUGACGUUAGCGGCGGACGGGUGAGUAACACGUGGAUAACCUACCUAUAAGACUGGGAUAACUUCGGGAAACCGGAGCUAAUACCGGAUAAUAUAUUGAACCGCAUGGUUCAAUAGUGAAAGACGGUUUUGCUGUCACUUAUAGAUGGAUCCGCGCCGCAUUAGCUAGUUGGUAAGGUAACGGCUUACCAAGGCAACGAUGCGUAGCCGACCUGAGAGGGUGAUCGGCCCCACUGGAACUGAGACACGGUCCAGACUCCUACGGGAGGCAGCGGUAGGGAAUCUUCCGCAAUGGGCUGAAGCCUGACGGAGCAACGCCGCGUGAGUGAUAAAGGUCUUCGGAUCGUAAAACUCUGUUAUUAGGGAAGAACAAAUGUGUAAGUAACUAUGCACGUCUUGACGGUACCUAAUCAGAAAGCCACGGCUAACUCCGUG